Long non-coding RNA from Varanus komodoensis (Komodo dragon), 1852 nucleotides. RefSeq lists it as uncharacterized. NCBI's taxonomy places the organism in Eukaryota, Metazoa, Chordata, Lepidosauria, Squamata, Varanidae. The transcript has 3 exons. The record is from RefSeq and is a predicted model, not a curated record.
AGGACUUUGAACGGAAGGAGGUUCUGAGAUCAGAGCCUUUCAUAAUUUGGUUAGAUAUCCAUAAGAUUUCUCUUUCACUGUGGAUAGAAUGGAGGACUCCAAUGCACUUGUAAACUUGCUUUUCACAGAGGAUUUUUUGUGCAAUGAGACCAGGCAUGAAGACUAAGGAGAAAACAAGUCAUAUCAAGCCUCAUUGCUCCCAGUUAUUUCUUAGAUUUUUGUGCAUCUCCUUCUCAGAGUCUUUAGCUCAAGCUAGUUACAGAAGGUUCAGCACAAACAGCGUACUUCUUCACGGAGCACACAGUUUCUGGAAUUUCUUGGCACUGGAUGUGGUGGUGAUCACUUCAAAUGGCUUGAAUAGAGGACUAGGUAAAUUAUUGUAGGGUAAGUCCACCACUGUCUACUAGUCAUGAUGGCCAAAUACACCAUCCACUUUGACAAGCAAUAAGCCACUGGAUACCAGCUGCUAUGGUGACCUGCAUGGGUGAUUCCGGCGGGGUUCUCACUGGCCACUGCAGGGAACGGAGGCUGGAUUAGGCAGCCUACUGCACUAAUAGACUGGUGCUCUUGCACUGCAUCAGGACAAUGUGGAUGUGCUAAACUCUAAUUUCCUUGUGGUUGCGGGGCUUUUUCUGCUAUACCAAUAUUACGCUGUGGUGUGCUAACACACAAACCUAUCUAGUAAACUUGGAGAACAGUUUACUAGAUGAAAUGGAUGUAUUUAUAUCAUCUGCCAAGAUAAUUAGAGUGCCCUGCAACUCACUAAAAGGUCAAGAAAUGAAACAUUUGUUAGCCUAUUUCAGUUGCAUUAGACUUCCAUACAAAUGUCCACAAUCAUUGUAAGAAAAGAGUGGGUGGAAAGUCCCUUGGAGAUAUUUCUAUGUGGAGGUGAACUAUCUAGUUUUUUAUUUGUUCUUUACAUUGCCAGCUUUAAAGUGACGAUACCUAGCAAUCCGGAUGAUAUGUGAUAUCAUCUCUUGGAUUUAUGCCAUCUGUGGGCAAACAUGGUAUGAAUCUUUUGAGGUGAUCUACACAACAAUGUGAGAAAGGUCUCGUGAUUUCUUUGACAAGCUCUGCUUAUAUGACAUCGCCAGCGGGAUAAACCAAACGGCCCUGGUUGAUUUGCUAAAGGUCAAUGGAAGACAUCUCACUCAACAAUCAAAAGGAAGGCGGACUGCAUCAGAUGGAAUGAUCCCAGUGAGAACAACUGUGUGGGCAGCAUGUCCUCACUAAUAAGAAAUAAGAAGAAGAAACUGUCACCAUUUGGCUAGGAUGAAGAUGAAAAAAAUCUUUUGAAGUUCAUGUCACUUUUCUGCUAGUCCAAAAGAAAUUACCUGAAUUCUUGAGGUGUGGAAGCCAUGGUUUUUACCCAUGAUGUUAAGCCAUGAUGUUAUCCCUGAUAUUUCAAUGGAUUGAUCAUUAGGGCAUUUCUACAGGCAAUGAUCUCUUGUGGUAGUGUUCAAGAGAAAAACACAUAGAUAUUCCAAACAAGCAAUAAAGAGAAAAUAAACAAACAUUCAACAGAAUGCUACACAGACAGACAUCACCAAUAAGACAGACAGCACAAAACAUGUUGAUGUUCAGAAUCUUCUUACAAAGAAAGGGCUGAUGGAAGCUGAUCCUGGGGGUUCAGAAGGCUAUCUGUAAAAAGGCCUUCUCCCUUAGGUAGAAAGUCGGUAUCAGAUUUAUGACAAUUGUCCUUGUGUAGUUAAAGGAAGGUUAUUUGGAGAUGCCAUAAUGGCCAUAAACUUUCUAAUACCUUCUGUGGAUUCACGAACUAAGUCAUCGCAUGCAAUGUAUCCCCUGAAGAUUUAGUGAAUGCUUGGCUCAAAUGAAGCCUUGAUUUUAUAAA